UGGUCGAUGCCCGAGCGGUUAAUGGGGACGGACUGUAAAUUCGUUGACGAUAUGUCUACGCUGGUUCAAAUCCAGCUCGACCCA
Non-coding RNA from Oryza barthii, 84 nucleotides. The record is from Rfam. NCBI's taxonomy places the organism in Eukaryota, Viridiplantae, Streptophyta, Magnoliopsida, Poales, Poaceae.